CGUUUUAGUGGCGGACGGGUGAGUAACGCGUGGGUAACCUGCCUUACACAGGGGGAUAACACCUGGAAACAGGUGCUAAUACCGCAUAAGCGCACAGGGCCGCAUGGCCCGGUGUGAAAAACUCCGGUGGUGUAAGAUGGACCCGCGUCUGAUUAGCUUGUUGGCGGGGUAGAGGCCCACCAAGGCGACGAUCAGUAGCCGGCCUGAGAGGGUGGACGGCCACAUUGGGACUGAGACACGGCCCAAACUCCUACGGAAGGCAGCAG
This 266-nucleotide ribosomal RNA is filed under the name uncultured bacterium. RNAcentral describes it as "partial 16S ribosomal RNA". It matches the Rfam family "Bacterial small subunit ribosomal RNA", at positions 88 to 354 of the family's 1533-position model. The record is from RNAcentral.